UUCCAAGGCCAGUCAGGUUACUAUAUUUCCAAGGCCAGUCAGGUUACUAUAUUUCCAAGGCCAGUCAGGUUACUGUAUUUCCAAGGCCAGUCAGGUUACUGUAUUUCCAAGGCCAGUCAGGUUACUAUAUUUCCAAGGCCAGCCAGGUUACUAUAUUUCCAAGGCCAGCCAGGUUACUAUAUUUCCAAGGCCAGCCAGGUUACUAUAUUUCCAAGGCCAGCCAGGUUACUAUAUUUCCAAGGCCAGUCAGGUUACUAUAUUUCCAAGGCCAGCCAGGUUACUAUAUUUCCAAGGCCACAGCACUCAGGUUUACUUAUUUCCAAGGCCUCAGAGGAGUGAUUAGCAAGGUUACUAUAUUUCCAAGGCCAGUCAGGUUACUAUAUUUCCAGGGCCACAGCACUCAGAUUUACUUAUUUCCAAGGCCUCAGAGGAAUGAUUAGCAAGGUUACAAUAUUUCCAAGGCCAGUCAGGUUACAAUAUUUCCAAGGCCUGUCAGGUUUACAUAUUUCUAAGGCCACAGAAAAGAGCUUAGUCAGGUUAAUGUAUUUCCAGCUAGGUUUGCAGAGAGGUUCAUCAGGUUUAAUGUAUUUCCAAGGGCCACAGAGAGAUAAUAUUCAGGUUAAUGUAUUUCCAAGGGUGUAGAAAAGAGAUCAGUCAGGUUUGCAGAGAGACUAGUAAGGUUUAAUGUAUUUCCAAGGCCACAGAAGAGAUAAAAGCCAAGUUAUAAUAUUUCCAAGGCCACAGAAGAGAUGAUUGUCAGGUUACAGUAUUUCCAAGGCUACAGCAGACAUAUUUGACAGGUUCCAAGGCCACAGAAGAGAUGAGAGUCAGGUUACAGUAUUUCCAAGGCUUCAACAGAGAUAUUUGACAGGUUAUUUCCAAGGCCACAGAGAUAAAAGUCAGGUUACAGUAUUUCCAAGGCUACAACAGAGAUAUUUGACAGGUUAUUUCCAAGGCCACAGAAGAAAUGAUAGUCAGGUUGCAAUAUAUCCAAGGCCACAACAGAGAUAUUUGACAGGUUAUUUCCAAGGCCACAGCAGACAUAUUUGACAGGUUAUUUCCAAGGCCACAGAAGAAAUGAUAGUCAGGUUGCAAUAUAUCCAGGUUGCAAUAUAUCCAAGGCCACAACAGAGAUAUUUGACAGGUUAUUUCCAAGGCCACAGAGAUCAUAGUCAGGUUAUAGUAUUUCCAAGGGCUACAACAGAGAUAUUUGACAUUUUAUUUCCAAGGCCACAGAGAUCAUAGUCAGGUUAUAGUAUUUCCAAGGGCUACAACAGAGAUAUUUGACAGGUUAUUUCCAAGGGCUACAGCAGAGAUAUUUGACAGGUUAUUUCCAAGGCCACAGAGAUCAUAGUUAGGAUAUAGUAUUUCCAAGGGCUACAACAGAGAUAUUUGACAGGUUAUUUCCAAGGCCAAAGACGAGAUAUUUGACAGGUUAUUUCCAAGGCCACAACAGAGAUAUUUGACAGGUUAUUUCCAAGGCCACAGAGAUCAUAGUCAAGUUGCAAUAUUUCCAAGGCCACAACAGAGAUAUUUGACAGGUUAUUUCCAAGGCCACAACAGAG
Eriocheir sinensis (Chinese mitten crab) is the source of this 1565-nucleotide long non-coding RNA. RefSeq lists it as uncharacterized. The record is from RefSeq and is a predicted model, not a curated record. NCBI's taxonomy places the organism in Eukaryota, Metazoa, Arthropoda, Malacostraca, Decapoda, Varunidae. The transcript is spliced from 3 exons.